UGGUACAUAAUUGUUUUCCUUCUAGUUCAGAAACACAUUUCUUAUAUCAUUCAUAUCGAUUUAUAUGUGGUUACUAACUUUCCAUAUUAAUGAGUGAAGAUUUUAAGAGAAUAUAGCUUUCAAAACAGGGCCAUAAAUUAAUGAAAAGUUUUGAAAUUACUUACAUUGUCAUGAAAGAAAAAUAGCACCAACAGUGUAAAAUUAACAAUUUUAAAAUUUAAACCCUAAUGUGUCAUGCAACAUGUAAGUUCUUUUUAUUAUUGCCAAAACACAUAUUUUAGUUACAACACUUGUCACUCAAUUGCUUAAAAACCUAUUAGUUAUUAGGAAACUUAAAUCUUAAAAUUAUUAAGACAAAAUUAAGGAGUUUAGCCAUUCAGGCUCAGAAUCACAUUCAACACCUUAUCCGGGGAGCUUAGAUUGCCAAAGGUCGAUCCUGUAGUCCGUCCGCAGGAACAAGAUGACCAAAGCACCAAGACUCAACUGAAACUUCUUUGUGCUUCCUCUCCUUGUCUUGACCAAGUUUACACAAAGAUGAAGUUUGAGGUUUUCUUGGUUUUUAAGCUUCUGGAAAUAUAGAGAAACAAUUUUUCUACCUCUAAUUCAAGAAUCACAAUUUCAAAUAUCUUUUGAAUUAAUCCCAAGAAAGAAGAGAUGAGAGAAUUUGGCUUGAGAGAAAAAUGGAGAAGAAGAAAAGAUUAACACUCUUAAUCUUCCAUUCUCAAACUAUUAGAGAGUUUUAAUUCCCCUUAAAGUCAAUUAGUGGUUGACCAUUAAUGAUUACCUACUUUACAAGUAUUCACAUCCAAUUCUCCAAUUAGAUGUGUUUUCUAAUUUUAAUUUGGCCACUUGUCAAGUUAACUCAAAUUAGGGGAUUAAAAUAUUAAUUAAUUAGUGUUAUGGAAAAUAUUAAUUAACUAUUAAUUUUUCCCUCUCGUGACUUUUUAAGUCAUGUUAACCAAAUAGGGGCAUAAAUAAAUAUGAUGUUUCUAUUACAACAAGAUGUCUCCAUUGCAUGAAGAUGUCCCCGGCCGUUCUACUUCAACCUUGUUAUACUUCUUUCUAUAAAAGGAAGCCAACUGAAAUAUUAUUUUAUUUAAGAUUUUUGUUUCUAGCGAUGCUUCGGUUAUGCAGAAAUUGCAAGCAACUCCACAUCCAUAACCACAUAAUGAUAACGCUCACCCCCGCGUAUCAUCGGUCCACAUGCCUCGGGAAGAAUCAUCCUUCUUAUUCCUCCGACUCGCAUUCCAUGAAUCGCUUCCUGAAAUCCUGGACCCAAUGUAUGACGACGGCGCAAGUCGACUUCUACCGGAGAAGCGUUAUUCUCAAAACUCUUGCAAACAGGUUGUUUGGACUCAUCAUAAACAAUAUAGUGGAUUUUUAGUUUUAAUUUCGAACCAUUUGUUGCAGUAUCACCUUCAAGUACCUCAUUAACAUCCCGGAACCAAAGCUCUGAAUUAUAUGCCUUUCUAACUUGGUACUCCUUCUUCAGCACCUCUUGCACCAGUUUCCCAUUAUCAUCUGCUGGGAAGGUUCCACAAUCAGUUUUAUUCAAUUUUGACUUCAAAUCACCAGUAGGACAUUUGUACAAGGUAAUUGAAGAGGACCUUGAACAUUCGCGUGAUAAUGUUGUCACAUUCGAACCCAUGAUCCAUCUCAUUGCCCUUCUGUGCGCUGCUUCAUAUUCAUAGAAGAAAUGAAGCAACAAAAAAGCUGAAGAAAAGAAACAAAAUUAAAGAAGCUUAAAUAGCAAUGAUCUUACCUGUUUUCUCCACUGGUAAAAUAGGAGUGGUAACCCAUUGUUUUCAUCUUCUCCUUAGCAUCAAAGCUAAAGGAAUCGGGGCAUGCCGGAUGAGUUAAGU
Molecule: unclassified non-coding RNA, 1862 nt
Filed under: Hevea brasiliensis (rubber tree)
Lineage: Eukaryota; Viridiplantae; Streptophyta; Magnoliopsida; Malpighiales; Euphorbiaceae
Source: RNAcentral